RNAcentral lists this long non-coding RNA (1107 nucleotides) under Lynx pardinus (Iberian lynx). The record is from RNAcentral. Lineage: Eukaryota; Metazoa; Chordata; Mammalia; Carnivora; Felidae.
UCAGGGAUUGCUGUACAUUUCACAUGUAUCAUUUCUCUUGUUUGUUAUAGAAACUAUGGAUAAAGGUACAAAUGCCACUUUACAUUGAAGAAAACUAAGGUUUAGAGAGGAAAAAAAAAAUGUUUUGCCCAAGAUCAUAUGGCAAGUGAGUAAUGGCACCUGGACUUGAAGUUCCAAGCCUUGCUUUUUGACCAUUUUUGCUAAGUCAAAGACUGAAAUCUUCCUCUUUAUUGUUCAACUAUACCUGGAGCAAAGAAGCUGCUAACUGUGUUAAAUUCUUAUCAGGAAGAAGAAUAUAGCACCAGCUGUGAAGAUAACAGCAACAAAAACAAAAUGAAAGUACCAAGAUAUACUGGAGAAGAUUUGGAAGAAGGAGACCAGAGUUUGCAUUUGGCUCAGUUUUAAGCUCAUAUGUCACUUUCUUAGGAAGGCCUUUCCUACCACAUCCUCUUCCAUAUUUGUCUCUGUUAGAACACUGAACUCAUUGCUGUAAUUAUACAAUGAUUCUAAGGUGCACAUAUUUUUCAUUGUAGCAUGUCUAAAAUCUAGAUUCAUCUUAUAAUUGAUGGUAUCUUAAUUGGUAGCAUUUCUCCUUAAUUGUUGGUACAGAAAAUAAGGAUGUAAUUUAUGUUCGAUGGCAUCUUAGAUUUGAUGAAACACAGUAUUUAAAUGUGUUCCCAUGGAAAGGUUUAUAUCAAUCCAACAGUUUUAAGUACCAGGUAGAGACAACGAUUUUCCAGUUUCUAACCUAGUUCUCUUUUAAAGUCCAGAUCUGCAUGCAUGAUUAACUGAAUCUCCCUUUGAUACCACAGGGAUCCCUGUUUCAAUAUGUGUACUUUCCAAACAAACUUGUCUUUUAGUAUUCCAUCUCAGUAAUGGAAUCUACAUUUGUGAAGCUAAAAAGCUAGGAGUUUGCCAGGUUUUGAAUCCUACUUCUACCCUAUACUACUUAUAAAGAGACACAGUGAAACGUUUGCCUUUAUUCUUCACCUGUAAAAUGGGUACCAUAAUAACACCUACCCCCUGAAGUGGUUACGACAAUAAAACAUGGAGUACAUGUUAGCUGCCACUAAUCUUCAUGAUAAAUAUCUGUGACCUCUCUCCUUA